Molecule: ribosomal RNA, 210 nt
Filed under: uncultured bacterium
Lineage: Bacteria
Description: partial 16S ribosomal RNA
Rfam family: Bacterial small subunit ribosomal RNA
Source: RNAcentral
UACGUGAGGAUCCAAGCGUUGUCCGGAUUUACUGGGUGUAAAGGGUGCGCAGGCGGACUUAUAAGUCAGGGGUGAAAUCUUACUGCUCAACAGUGAAACUGCCUUUGAUACUGUAGGUCUUGAAUUAGGGAGAGAGUCGUUGGAAUUCCGAGUGUAAGCAGUGAAAUGUGUAGAGUAAUUCGGAAGGAACACCAGCGGGCGAAAGCAGGC